RNAcentral lists this ribosomal RNA (496 nucleotides) under uncultured bacterium. RNAcentral describes it as "partial 16S ribosomal RNA". It matches the Rfam family "Bacterial small subunit ribosomal RNA", at positions 28 to 506 of the family's 1533-position model. The record is from RNAcentral.
GAUGAACGCUGGCGGCGUGCCUAAUACAUGCAAGUCGAGCGAACAGACGAGGAGCUUGCUCCUCUGACGUUAGCGGCGGACGGGUGAGUAACACGUGGAUAACCUACCUAUAAGACUGGGAUAACUUCGGGAAACCGGAGCUAAUACCGGAUAAUAUAUUGAACCGCAUGGUUCAAUAGUGAAAGACGGUUUUGCUGUCACUUAUAGAUGGAUCCGCGCCGCAUUAGCUAGUUGGUAAGGUAACGGCUUACCAAGGCAACGAUGCGUAGCCGACCUGAGAGGGUGAUCGGCCACACUGGAACUGAGACACGGUCCAGACGCCUACGGGAGGCAGCAGUAGGGAAUCUUCCGCAAUGGGCGAAAGCCUGACGGAGCAACGCCGCGUGAGUGAUGAAGGUCUUCGGAUCGUAAAACGCUGUUAUUAGGGAAGAACAAAUGUGUAAGUAACUAUGCACGUCUUGACGGUACCUAAUCAGAAAGACACGGCGAACUACGU